Molecule: ribosomal RNA, 433 nt
Filed under: Prevotella melaninogenica
Lineage: Bacteria; Pseudomonadati; Bacteroidota; Bacteroidia; Bacteroidales; Prevotellaceae
Description: bacterial SSU rRNA
Rfam family: Bacterial small subunit ribosomal RNA
Source: RNAcentral
ACAAUGGAGAGUUUGAUCCUGGCUCAGGAUGAACGCUAGCUACAGGCUUAACACAUGCAAGUCGAGGGGAAACGGCAUUGAGUGCUUGCACUCUUUGGACGUCGACCGGCGCACGGGUGAGUAACGCGUAUCCAACCUUCCCAUUACUGUGGGAUAACCUGCCGAAAGGCAGACUAAUACCGCAUAGUCUUCGAUGACGGCAUCAGAUUUGAAGUAAAGAUUUAUCGGUAAUGGAUGGGGAUGCGUCUGAUUAGCUUGUUGGCGGGGUAACGGCCCACCAAGGCAACGAUCAGUAGGGGUUCUGAGAGGAAGGUCCCCCACAUUGGAACUGAGACACGGUCCAAACUCCUACGGGAGGCAGCAGUGAGGAAUAUUGGUCAAUGGACGGAAGUCUGAACCAGCCAAGUAGCGUGCAGGAUGACGGCCCUAUGGG